This 841-nucleotide ribosomal RNA is filed under the name uncultured bacterium. Its description in RNAcentral is "bacterial SSU rRNA". It matches the Rfam family "Bacterial small subunit ribosomal RNA", at positions 73 to 916 of the family's 1533-position model. The record is from RNAcentral.
CUAUUCUUCGGAAUAGUUGAAAGUGGCGCACGGGUGCGUAACGCGUAUGCAACCUACCCUUAACAGGGGGAUAGCCCAGAGAAAUUUGGAUUAAUACCCCAUAGUACUACAAGAUGGCAUCUGAAAGUAGUUAAAGAUUUAUCGGUUAAGGAUGGGCAUGCGUAACAUUAGAUAGUUGGUGAGGUAACGGCUCACCAAAUCCACGAUGUUUAGGGGUUCUGAGAGGAUGAUCCCCCACACUGGUACUGAGAUACGGACCAGACUCCUACGGGAGGCAGCAGUAGGGAAUAUUGGUCAAUGGGCGAGAGCCUGAACCAGCCAUGCCGCGUGCAGGAAGACAGCUUUCUGAGUUGUAAACUGCUUUUAUAUGGGAAGAAAAAGGCCUUGCGAGGCAAAUUGCCGGUACCAUAUGAAUAAGCACCGGCUAACUCCGUGCCAGCAGCCGCGGUAAUACGGAGGGUGCAAGCGUUGUCCGGAUUUAUUGGGUUUAAAGGGUGCGUAGGCGGAUCUUUAAGUCAGUGGUGAAAUCCUGCAGCUUAACUGUAGAACUGCCAUUGAUACUGGAGAUCUUGAGUAUACUAGAGGUAGGCGGAAUUUAUGGUGUAGCGGUGAAAUGCAUAGAUACCAUAAAGAACACCGAUAGCGUAGGCAGCUUACUGGAGUAUAACUGACGCUGAGGCACGAAAGCAUGGGUAGCGAACAGGAUUAGAUACCCUGGUAGUCCAUGCCGUAAACGAUGAUUACUCGAUGUUGGCGAUAUACUGUCAGCGUCCAAGCGAAAGCGUUAAGUAAUCCACCUGGGGAGUACGCUCGCAAGAGUGAAACUCAAAGGAAUUGACGG